Molecule: ribosomal RNA, 447 nt
Filed under: uncultured bacterium
Lineage: Bacteria
Description: SSU rRNA
Rfam family: Bacterial small subunit ribosomal RNA
Source: RNAcentral
AGAACGAACGCUGGCGGCAGGCCUAAUACAUGCAAGUCGAGCGGGCGUAGCAAUACGUCAGCGGCGGACGGGUGAGUAACACGUGGGAACAUGCCCUUCGGUACGGAACAACUCAGGGAAACUUGAGCUAAUACCGUAUGAUCCGGCAACGGCAAAGAUUUAUCGCCGGAGGAUUGGCCCGCGUCCGAUUAGCUAGUUGGUGAGGUAACGGCCCACCAAGGCACCGAUCGGUAGCUGGUUUGAGAGAACGACCAGCCACACUGGGACUGAGACACGGCCCAGACUCCUACGGGAGGCAGCAGUAGGGAAUCUUGGACAAUGGGGGAAACCCUGAUCCAGCCAUGCCGCGUGAGUGAUGAAGGCCUUCGGGUUGUAAAACUCUUUCGACGGGGACGAGUAAUGACGGUACCGUAGAAGAAGCUCGGCUAACUUCGCGCCAGCAGCCGC